Long non-coding RNA from Aedes albopictus (Asian tiger mosquito), 1701 nucleotides. RefSeq lists it as uncharacterized. The record is from RefSeq and is a predicted model, not a curated record. The transcript has 6 exons. Lineage: Eukaryota; Metazoa; Arthropoda; Insecta; Diptera; Culicidae.
UUUGGGGUGGCGGGGUCAGUUCGGUCGGGGUAUCAAUAGAGAGGUACCGGAUGCGAAUAUGUAUGCGAGCCGCUGGAGUGGACUGUGUCCAAAGACGGGACCGCUCUGCGCGCGGAGACACAGACAUCCAACAGGACAAACGACGACGACGAGGACGGUGACGAGUACGAUGACGACAACGACGACAAGCGCAGCGUGGAUGAAAGAGCGAACGUAUUCGGCUUUUUCACGCCACUGCACUGGCAAGACUGAGAGGGGUAGACUGCAAAAAUUUUCAAACAUAAUGCAUCGCGGUGCAAUUUAUUGUACGUUUUUUGUGCGAUCCAUAGUUUUCUCUGAGCCGCCGACGUCGUCGUUGCGCUUUGUUGCAGUGGCUCCUGGGACGACCGGCGACCUGGCCGCGGUCGUUCUCUAGGUUCUGGGCCCGCUGGUGCUUCUCUAGGCUUCCCUAGGCGGUGGCAGUUCUGGGUUCAGGUAUCCGGCUCGUAGCCGUCGCACCGUGAUUGCAUCCUCAUGCAGUUGGCAUUAUCGAAUUUCAUCUCGCCUUGGGAUGCAACGGGUGAGCCCGGAGCGAAUUCUGCGCGGCUGAGGCCGGGUGCUGGAACUGAGAGCAAGCGCAACUCAGAGAAUGCAACCAAGUUGGGAAAUACAGCGCAACGACCGCGCCGCCGUGUGCACUGGUUCUGUACGGAGGUUCAAGAUCGGAAGAAAUUUAAUGUACAUUGCAAACCUGGUCGUCGUCGUCGUCGUAGUCGUCGCCGCAGUUUUUUUUCUUGUUGUUCAUGUGCCGUGUUCGGGGCCGUGCGGGUACAGGCCAAUCGUCGACGGAGUUAACGGAGAAGUGCCCCAGAGUGUGAAAAAUUGCGAGUGCAACGUGCAGUGCGUUCUCGGGAAAGAAGAACACCAAAUGGGGCAAUAAAAACGAAAGAAUAAUGGUUGUUACCCUACAAUACGCUAAUGCUCCAGUUGGUUUGUACUGUAGUGACAGUUUUUUUUGUGCGAUUUGUGAACGGUUAAUUUUAACACCAUGUGUCUCUCCGCGGGUUCGGAUUCCUUACGAUGCAUGAUCACGCGAUUUUUUGGAAAAUCAACGGUUUGAAGGAAUCCGUGGAACGCGAAGUUAGCAGAUGAGCUGCUCGAUGCGGGAUUGAUUUUAGAAUGCUCUCAGUGGAAUGUUUAAUGUGCCUCUUCUAGCGAUGUGGAGAAAAUGUGGCUUAGUAAAGAAAACCAAAAUGAAGAAAACCUGAGCAAAUUUGCUACGAGUGAAUCAACUGAAACGACAAUCAAAUAAAAGCAGAUUGAUUACCAUGAAUCAGACGUAUUCUGUAGAACUCUCCUCCGGCUACCAGCAAAUCCCACAUUUUCAACCAGGAUGAUCUAACCCAGACGACCAGACAUUAAAUAUCUACUUGACGACCAUCGGAGAUGGUUGGAUCGUUGAUAGAGGCUAGACGAUGAUAAUCAAAUGAUGCUUCUAUUUUAACCAUUGAGAGCUUCUGCAUUGUGAUUCUCACGAUGCAACGCUCCAACCCAAUGGAUUAUUAGGUUAAAUGUGAACAUUUGGUAAGAUCAAAUCCAUGUCUAUGCACCUUGUUUAUUACAUCUCUGUAGUAUUCUCAUACCCCACUUCCAACAUCCCGUCCUGACCAAGAACUACCAUUCCUGAACCUACAACUUUCCACCACUUCCAACCAGAAGCAC